GAGUUUGAUCGUGGCUCAGAGCGAACGCUGGCGGCAGGCCUAACACAUGCAAGUCGAACGAACUCUUCGGAGUUAGUGGCGGACGGGUGAGUAACACGUGGGAACGUGCCUUUUGGUUCGGAAUAACUCAGGGAAACUUGUGCUAAUACCGAAUGUGCCCUUCGGGGAAGGAUUUAUCGCCAUUAGAGCGGCCGCGUCUGAUUAGCUAGUUGGUGAGGUAAAGGCUCACCAAGGCGACGAUCAGUAGCUGGUCUGAGAGGAUGAUCAGCCACAUUGGGACUGAGACACGGCCCAAACUCCUACGGGAGGCAGCAGUGGGGAAUCUUGCGCAAUGGGCGAAAGCCUGACGCAGCCAUGCCGCGUGAAUGAUGAAGGUCUUAGGAUUGUAAAAUUCUUUCACCGGGGACGAUAAUGACGGUACCCGGAGAAG
Molecule: ribosomal RNA, 430 nt
Filed under: uncultured microorganism
Description: bacterial SSU rRNA
Rfam family: Bacterial small subunit ribosomal RNA
Source: RNAcentral